GCAGUCGAACGGCAGCAUAGGAGCUUGCUCCUGAUGGCGAGUGGCGAACGAGGUGAGUAAUAUAUCGGAACGUGCCCUAGAGUGGGGGAUAACUAGUCGAAAGAUUAGCUAAUACCGCAUACGAUCUACGGAUGAAAGUGGGGGAUCGCAAGACCUCAUGCUCCUGGAGCGGCCGAUAUCUGAUUAGCUAGUUGGUGGGGUAAAAGCCUACCAAGGCGACGAUCAGUAGCUGGUCUGAGAGGACGACCAGCCACACUGGGACUGAGACACGGCCCAGACUCCUACGGGAGGCAGCAGUGGGGAAUUUUGGACAAUGGGGGCAACCCUGAUCCAGCAAUGCCGCGUGAGUGAAGAAGGCCUUCGGGUUGUAAAGCUCUUUUGUCAGGGAAGAAACGGUGGUAGCUAAUAUCUACUACUAAUGACGGUACCUGAAGAAUAAGCACCGGCUAACUACGUGCCAGCAGCCGCGGUAAUACGUAGGGUGCAAGCGUUAAUCGGAAUUACUGGGCGUAAAGCGUGCGCAGGCGGUUGUGUAAGACAGAUGUGAAAUCCCCGGGCUCAACCUGGGAAUUGCAUUUGUGACUGCACGGCUAGAGUGUGUCAGAGGGGGGUAGAAUUCCACGUGUAGCAGUGAAAUGCGUAGAUAUGUGGAGGAAUACCGAUGGCGAAGGCAGCCCCCUGGGAUAACACUGACGCUCAUGCACGAAAGCGUGGGGAGCAAAACAGGAUUAGAUACCCUGGUAGUCCACGCCCUAAACGAUGUCUACUAGUUGUCGGGUCUUAAUUGACUUGGUAACGCAGCUAACGCGUGAAGU
This 815-nucleotide ribosomal RNA is filed under the name Herbaspirillum sp. Her_156. RNAcentral describes it as "bacterial SSU rRNA". It matches the Rfam family "Bacterial small subunit ribosomal RNA", at positions 57 to 865 of the family's 1533-position model. Lineage: Bacteria; Pseudomonadati; Pseudomonadota; Betaproteobacteria; Burkholderiales; Oxalobacteraceae. The record is from RNAcentral.